CAACUCAGAUACAACUCAGAUACAACUCAGAUACAGCUCAGUUUAGGAUCCUCAAAUCAAGUGAUAGAAAGAGAUAAAGUGUUUGGUUUUUCUUUCUAGGUUCUACAACUUCAGCUACAACUAAAGAGACACCAACAACAAUGACAACAAAUCUGUAAGUUCAAAUUUUCCACUCGGUCUUUAAAACUAGCUGAGCUGUAUGUUCACCUCAUUUUGGCGUUUUACUGUUUGCUUUUUGCAGAACUACAAAUGCACCGUCUGCAAACACAAAGAAGACGAGCGAUGAUAGACCAACCACCGCUCGUUUAAUAAAAACAUCUGAGAAUGGUCAAGGCCUAAACACUGAUGGAAUUAAUGAAAAUUCCAUGUUGAUCUGGGUUCUGCUGGCUGUAGGUCUGGGGCUGCUCUUCCUCCUGAUCAUCAUUAUUACCUUUAGGACAAGAAAGCGAAGUAAGUAUUUAUAAUCUGUCGUUUUUUAGUUUAAGUGAGGUCGGAUAGUGGCUACCA
This 507-nucleotide long non-coding RNA is filed under the name Astyanax mexicanus (Mexican tetra). RNAcentral describes it as "lncRNA (ENSAMXG00005001496.1)". Lineage: Eukaryota; Metazoa; Chordata; Actinopteri; Characiformes; Acestrorhamphidae. The record is from RNAcentral.